AAAAGUCCUCCAUUGUGACACCUGUACUGUCACAACACAGGACAAAGUUUCUUUAAAAAUCAUUUUAAAUAAUUAAAUAAUAUUUGUUUAACUCCUUUUUUUACUUUUAAAUGUAAUAAUUACAUUCAUUAAAUUAAGCUCUAAUCAUCAUCAAAAAAAAAAAAUGAAUCUUUAGAAUAUAUGAAAAUUUCACUUUUUAAUACAAAAAGUUACAAAAAAUGAACUUUUUUCAUGAUAUUCACAUUUCUUCAAGAUGCACCUUUUACACACACACACACACACACAAACACACACACACACACACACACACACACACACACACACACACACACACACACACACAUAUAUAUAUAUAUAUAUAUAUAUAUAUAUAUAUAUAUGAGUGUUCGUAAAAGCAACAAUACAAAAUCUUAAACUAUAAAAGUGCCACUUUGUCCCACUAUUAUGUGCAGGCCUGGCAUUUUGCACUGGGCUAUAGAACUACAAAAUGAAUUUUAAAUUAGAAAUAUCACGAUUGAAUGACAUUUUGAAUUAUGUAGUGAUCUAAUUCUAUCCACCAAACAAUUGCAUGUGAAUUUGUGAGACUUAUGGUCAUGGUUAUAGGGAAAUAACAAGAAGAACAAAGUGCAGUAAACUGUAAAACUGUUUGCACUACAAACCAGUACGUUCAUAAUUAAGACAAUACAUUAAAAAUAACAUGGUAAUACAGCAGUUUGCAACAGUAAACGGCAAAACAAGCUGUUUGUACAGCUAAUAUAGCUGGAAUGACACCGAAAGCCAGACACAUUAAAUCUACAAAUGGCCGCGGCCCCUCUUACAGAAAAAAAAGGGGGCAUAUGUUUAUUCAUAUGUUUAUUUAUGUAACGUAAGCGUGUGACUUUUAAUUCGUGACGUGCUUUCAUGGGCGUGCGCCGCGCGCGGACCGGAUGGAGUUGCCAUGGAAACGGAGCGCAACACUGCAAAUGUCACGAGGAAGCACCCCGUUUCUCGCUGAUUUCACUGUUUUCAGGUGAGUUAAGUCCAUAAAAUCACACAAAUAUUACUUAUAACUGUUGUUGACACUUCUCUUACUUGUAUUUGACUCGCUUCUGUUGUUUAUUUACUUUAUAGGAAUGGUUUAAUGUCUUCGAAAAAGUCCGUUAGCAUUUCUACCGUUUUCAGACGACGUAUCGUCAGAAGGGAGUGUCCAAGAUUUCAAUAUUUCUGAAGGGAGCUGCUGACAGAGAUGUAGGAAGCGCUGAAAAGAUUCUUCAGUGCUGAUGGCCUGCUGCAUCCAGCAGAGUCGGAGUGAACCUACUGUAAGACAACAUCUCCAAGAUGCUACUGACCACACGACUAGUACAGUAAGUCAAACCUCAAAUAUACUGUACACUAGUGUUCAAAAGCUUGAAGUUGAUACAAUUUGUAAUAAUUAUC
Molecule: long non-coding RNA, 1416 nt
Organism: Carassius gibelio (silver crucian carp)
Lineage: Eukaryota; Metazoa; Chordata; Actinopteri; Cypriniformes; Cyprinidae
Exons: 3
Source: RefSeq, a predicted model, not a curated record